Mus spicilegus (steppe mouse) is the source of this 746-nucleotide long non-coding RNA. The record is from Ensembl. Lineage: Eukaryota; Metazoa; Chordata; Mammalia; Rodentia; Muridae.
GUAUCCAAAAGGAAGUAGGGACCACUAGAACAGAGGUUUUCUCAGCCUUCCUACUGCUGAGAGCACAGUUCGUCAUGUUGUGGUGAGCCUCAACCGUAAACAUAUUUGUUGCUACUUCUUAACUGUAAUUUUGCUACUGUUAUGAAUCAUAAUGUAAAUAACCGAUAUGUAGAAUAUCUCAUAUGCAGCCCCCAAGGGGUCAAAAGCCACAGGUUGAGAACCAGCUAGAAUAAGGAGUUCUCAGGUGAUCCUGAAAGCAUUUUUCCAAACUCCAGCAGGUCCAUCUUGCGUGCGCUCGACUGGCCAGGAAGAACGACGUUGCAACAGGAUCCUUCUGCACACGUUUAUUGGGAGAACUUGAUUGUAGAGGCAAAGUGACCCCAAGCCCAGAACUGGUGCUGCUUUUAUAGGCCUAGGAGAGGCGUGUCUCACAUCUGAUUGGUUAACUUGUCUUGGCAAAAGAACCUUCACUGCCUAUGUAUGUGUGGUGGCCAGCAGUAGCCAACUGCCACUCUGCAACUGUCACUCUGCAACGGCUUCCCACAGGUCCAGACCUCUGGAGGCAGAGAAGAAGACAGACAGAGGCUUUACGGAUAAGUCUCUCAGAUAAAAAUAACAGGCAAGGAGCAUUCUCUAAGAAAAAUGCAGGUCUUAUGAAAGAAACAGCUAAUUCUGAUCUCCUCCAAUUUACAGACACAGUGGAGGUUCAGUCAAGAGCAUACAGAAAUGAGGUACCUGAGAAGUGA